UGAUAGAGAUGAUGGAUGUGAUGGAGAUGAUAAAGAUGAUAAAGAUGAUGCAGAUGGUUAAGAUGGUGGAGAUGAUGGGGAUGAUAAACAUGGGUGGAGAUGAUGGAGAUCAGCUCUAUGAUGUUAGACCUGUAACAGAAUUUCUUCCAUAUUGUUCUUUCAGAAGCAAGGCCUGAAAGAGACGAAUCGAUGGAGAAGAUGAUAUUACAUUAAGGGUCGUACCCUCUGAGCACGUCUUAGGAAUGUUACACAUAAACACCCAUAAUGCCGUGUUUUAUGGUCUUCACUGGGUUAGGAGUUUGAUCUAGUUGAGGUUACAGCAUCUGAC
Molecule: long non-coding RNA, 328 nt
Organism: Ictalurus punctatus (channel catfish)
Lineage: Eukaryota; Metazoa; Chordata; Actinopteri; Siluriformes; Ictaluridae
Source: Ensembl